GCCGCCUUAGCUCAGUCGGUAGAGCACUUCCAUGGUAAGGAAGGGGUCACCGGUUCAAGUCCGGUAGGCGGCU
RNAcentral lists this transfer RNA (73 nucleotides) under Rhodothermales bacterium. RNAcentral describes it as "tRNA-Thr". It matches the Rfam family "tRNA". Rfam says of the family: Transfer RNA (tRNA) molecules are approximately 80 nucleotides in length. The record is from RNAcentral. Lineage: Bacteria; Pseudomonadati; Rhodothermota; Rhodothermia; Rhodothermales. RNAcentral also lists the same sequence under 2 other names.